GAUGAACGCUGGCGGCGUGCCUAAUACAUGCAAGUCGAGCGAACGGACGAGAAGCUUGCCUCUCUGAUGUUAGCGGCGGACGGGUGAGUAACACGUGGAUAACCUACCUAUAAGACUGGGAUAACUUCGGGAAACCGGAGCUAAUACCGGAUAAUAUUUUGAACCGCAUGGUUCAAAAGUGAAAGACGGUCUUGCUGUCACUUAUAGAUGGAUACGCGCUGCAUUAGCUAGUUGGUAAGGUAACGGCUUACCAAGGCAACGAUGCAUAGCCGACCUGAGAGGGUGAUCGGCCACACUGGAACUGAGACACGGUCCAGACUCCUACGGGAGGCAGCAGUAGGGAAUCUUCCGCAAUGGGCGAAAGCCUGACGGAGCAACGCCGCGUGAGUGAUGAAGGUCUUCGGAUCGUAAAACUCUGUUAUUAGGGAAGAACAUAUGUGUAAGUAACUGUGCACAUCUUGACGGUACCUAAUCAGAAAGCCACGGCUAACUACGU
This 496-nucleotide ribosomal RNA is filed under the name uncultured bacterium. Its description in RNAcentral is "partial 16S ribosomal RNA". It matches the Rfam family "Bacterial small subunit ribosomal RNA", at positions 28 to 506 of the family's 1533-position model. The record is from RNAcentral.